UACAGAGGCCUCAAGCGUUAUCCGGAAUUAUUGGGCGUAAAGGGUGCGUAGGUGGUUGUGUUAGUCGACUGUCAAAAAUCCGGGCUUAACCCGGGGGAGGCAUUCGAAACGGCACGACUAGAAUUAGUGAGAGGUAUGCAGAACUCAUGGAGUAGGGGUGAAAUCCGUUGAUCUCAUGGGGAAUACCAAAUGCGAAGGCAGCAUACUGGCACUAUAUUGACACUGAGGCACGAAAGCGUGGGUAGCGAAU
Molecule: ribosomal RNA, 250 nt
Filed under: uncultured bacterium
Lineage: Bacteria
Description: partial 16S ribosomal RNA
Rfam family: Bacterial small subunit ribosomal RNA
Source: RNAcentral